This 864-nucleotide ribosomal RNA is filed under the name uncultured archaeon. RNAcentral's name for it is "bacterial SSU rRNA". It matches the Rfam family "Archaeal small subunit ribosomal RNA", at positions 39 to 909 of the family's 1478-position model. The record is from RNAcentral.
UGAUACUAAGCCAUGCGAGUCAUUGUAGCAAUACAAGGCAUACGGCUCAGUAACGCGUAGUCAACCUAACCUAUGGACGGGAAUAACCUCGGGAAACUGAGAAUAAUGCCCGAUAGAACAUUAUGCCUGGAAUGGUUUAUGUUCCAAAUGAUUUAUCGCCGUAGGAUGGGACUGCGGCCUAUCAGUUUGUUGGUGAGGUAAUGGCCCACCAAGACUAUUACAGGUACGGGCUCUGAGAGGAGUAGCCCGGAGAUGGGUACUGAGACACGGACCCAGGCCCUAUGGGGCGCAGCAGGCGAGAAAACUUUGCAAUGUGCGAAAGCACGACAAGGUUAAUCCGAGUGGUUUCUGCUAAAGGAACCUUUUGUCAGUCCUAGAAACACUGAUGAAUAAGGGGUGGGCAAGUUCUGGUGUCAGCCGCCGCGGUAAAACCAGCACCUCAAGUGGUCAGGAUGAUUAUUGGGCCUAAAGCAUCCGUAGCCGGCUCUGUAAGUUUUCGGUUAAAUCUGUACGCUCAACGUACAGGCUGCCGGGAAUACUGCAAGGCUAGGGAGUGGGAGAGGUAGACGGUACUCGGUAGGAAGGGGUAAAAUCCUUUGAUCUAUUGAUGACCACCUGUGGCGAAGGCGGUCUACCAGAACACGUCCGACGGUGAGGGAUGAAAGCUGGGGGAGCAAACCGGAUUAGAUACCCGGGUAGUCCCAGCUGUAAACUAUGCAAACUCAGUGAUGCAUUGGCUUGUGGCCAAUGCAGUGCUGCAGGGAAGCCGUUAAGUUUGCCGCCUGGGAAGUACGUACGCAAGUAUGAAACUUAAAGGAAUUGGCGGGGGAGCACCACAGGGGGUGAAGCCUGCGGUUCAAUUGG